UGAUGUUUGGAAGGAAUUCCUGUGAAAGACUUGGGCGUUUGCAGAUGCAGUCUUCAGUGUGAAUGUUCCAUUUGCCCUUUGGGCUGGAUGAGAUUAAGAUGAAGGCUGGCACUGCUACUCGUGUUGACUGAUUAUAAGCUCUUCGCCUGUAUUUAAAAAUAUGCUAAGAAAGGGUGUUUAAAAAUUGUAUGUGCUUUCCUGAUCCUGCUCUUUCAUUUUCUCAGCAGUAUUUAUUGAGCAGUUAUUAUGUGCCAGGUGCUGUGCUGGGCACUGUCAGGGGGACCCCAUGGUCCCACCUUAGGAGGGGGACCGUCUGUAAAGCUCUGUGUCAAGUGAUGGUUUGUGUGCGGAGGAGGCACUAGGCAGGUAGGCCUGUGCAUGGGAGGAGGCGCAGGAAGGCCUGGGGAGUACGACUGGAACAGAGGCUCUGUGUGGAGAGGCUCUGGGGGCCCUAAGGUGAAGGCCUGCCUGGCGUGCUGGAGAAGGAGCAGGAAGGUGUCCGUGGGGCGGGGGCUGUAGGUGGGGGUGGGGGGGCCCUGUCGGGUUAGUCCGGGGGCCUGUGGACCCAUAUUCAGGGCCUUGCCAUCUGCUCUGCCUGAGCAGCUUCUGAGGAGAGGAGGGCCGCCGGUUCUGUUAGGAGAGUCCAGGCCCGCCUCGUGAUUAAAAAGCAAGCAGCAGCAGUGGUGAGAGGCGGUGAGAUCCUGGGCAUGUACUGAACAAAGAGCCCAGGGAACUGUUCAUGGAGUGGCUGGGGGUGAGGGCGGGCAGGGCGGAGAGGAAAGAGGGAAGGACCGGGAGGGACUCAGUGGUCCUUGAGGGUUGGUAGUAGGGGGCCUUUUCAGUAUCCCCGAGUCUCUUCAGUUCAUCAGACUGUUUUGAAAUAUAAAUUGUUCAAACUUUAUAUGGUGAGUAAAGAGAUGGAAACAUCUUAAAGAUGUCACAUGUUAAAAACUAAAGGAGUUCCAGUCGUGGCUCAGCAGAUAGGAACCUGACCAGCAUCCAUGAGGACAGAGGUUCCAUCCCUGGCCUCGCUCAGUGGGUUAAGGAUCCAGCUUUGAGCCGUGAGCCAUGGUGUAGGUCACAGACUCGGCUCCAAUCUGGUGUGGCUGUGUCUGUGGUGUAGGCCGGUGGCUACAGUUCUGAUUCAACACCUAGCCUGGGAAACUCCAUGUGUCGUGGUUCCCGCUGUGGCUCAGUAGUAACGAACCCAACUAGUAUCCACGAAGACACGUAUUUGAUCCCUGGCCUCGAUCAGUGGGUUAAAGAUUCCUUAUUGCUACGAGCUGUGGUGUAGAUCACAAAUGUGGCUCAGAUCCCGUGUUUCUGUGGCUGUGGUGUAGGCUGGCAGCUAUAGCUCUGAUUCAACCAACAGCCUGGGAACUUCCAUAUACCAUGGGUGUGGUCCUAAAAAGAAAAAACAAGAAAAAUACAUGCACCCCAGUGUUCAUAGCACUGUUGACAGUAGCCAGGACAUGGAAGCAAACAUAGAUAAAGAUGAAUGAAGUACUACUCAGCCAGAAAAAAAGAACGAAAUCAUAUUAUUUGCAGCAACAUGGAAGGACUUAGAGAUCAUAGUACUAAGUAAGUCAGACAGAAAAAGACAAAUACCAUGUAAUAUCAUUUAUAUGUGGAAUCUAAAAUGUGAUACAAGAGUUCCCUGGUGGUCCCCCCAAAAAGUGAUACAGAUGAACUUCUUUUCAAAACAAAAACAGAUGCACAGACAUAGAAAACAAACUUAGGGUUACCUAAGGGGAAAAGGUGUGGGGGAGGCAUAAAUUAAGAGUUUGGGAUUAGCAGAUACCAACUACAUGUAUAAAAUAGAUGGACAACAAGGACCUACUGUAUGGCCUAGGGAUCUGUAUUCAGUAUCUUGUGGUUAAAGCAUAAUGGAAGAUAUAUGAAAAUGAAUGUAUUUGUAUGUGUGUCUGUAUGUAUUUUAUAUAUAUAUAUAUAUCUGAAUCGCUUUGCUGUUUGCUGUAUACCAGAAACUAACACAACAUUGUAAAUCAACUGUACUUCAGUUUUUUUUUUUAAGUCAAAUUGGUAUUGUUUUCUAUCAUGGAACUUUUAUGUGAAGAGAUAAGAGAUUUGAUGGAUAAAAUUUUACAGUUUUUAGGAGUUCCCCUGUGGUGCAGUGGGCUAAGGGUCCGGCAUUGUCACUGCUGUGACUUGGGUCACUGCUGUUGUGUGGGUUCAAUCCCUGGCCUGGGAAUUUCCACAUGCCACAGACUCGGCCAAAAUAAAAUAAAAUUCUGCAAAAAGCCUUUGUGGAAAAAGACAAAAGGAGAUGAAAAGCAGGGCUGCACGUAGACAGUGUGCCCCAUCCUAGGUCCUUGUCAGUGUGGCUGUGCCGUGCAAGCCCCUGCUUCAGUUCACCUCCCUUUGCUUUUGGUCUCUCUUCUCCUCCUUCUUUCUGGUGCCUCCCCCACUCCCCCUUCCUGUUCUGUCACCUCCCCGUCCCCUCACUGGCCAGGACUCUCUCCCCUCUCCCCUCACUUCUCCCAUGACCUUUCAUUCCCUCAGGAAUUUUCAGAUUCCAGUGCAGAAGCUGGAAUCAUGCUUAAAGGAAAGCUGGCUUCCUUUUCCUUCAGCACUUGCUUGUAUUAGGCUCCCUGUGGACCACGGCCCCACUGCCCUCCCCCCACCCCCCACUUUAGCAGCUGGUGGAUGGCAAGUGGGGGAGGGUCUCACACUUUGGGGAAAGCCCAGCUUAAUUCUGGAAAAUGAAACCUGACCCCACAGUGCUGCCCGUGCUGGGUACUGGAGGAUGAUCCUUAACUGCAUAAACCCUGGUCAGUUUGGGCUCAUUUUUAUCACGCUUGCCUCUUGCUUUGGGGUAAGUGUUGAGAAGUGUUCUGGCAGCCAUCCAGUGCUCGCAGAGCCUAGGGAUCAAAUGGUUCCCUUAGUCCUAGGAAGUUAAGCUUCACUUUGUAAAACCUCAGAAGUGAGUGAGAGAGUGAUUGAGUCAUUGAUAGGCAGAUGAAUGUAUUCAAAUCAAGUCUUUGAAUCAUUUUAUGUGGCAACAGAGCACGUAAACCAAACCAGCAAAGACGCUUAACCUUAGCUUGGUUUGGCUGUGACUAAACACCUGCUCUGUGCCUGCGGCGCUCUUUUGUUGAAGUUCCCACCUUUUCUCACCCCAGGAGUCCCAAGGUUAAGCAGAUCCAAUUCAGAUCCAUAUGUGGACGUACCUCUUUUUUUCCUUCUCAGUGUUCUGUAUUCUUGGACAUUCUCGUUGUUUUUAAAUUUCAGUGCCUCCGGUAGGUGAGGUAGUUAGACCCAACCUCUGACCUAACUCCUUUGGUAGAGAACUCGCUUUCUUCUACGCGGAUGUGAACUGAACACUUUGAGUGCGGCUGUUGGUGGAAGGAACCCCAGAGGCCUGACUCCCUGGCUCUUCUGGGAGUGGGCGGCCUGCACACCCCCCCAGCCCUGUGGGUCCUUUGCUCUGCGAGCAGACCCAUAUCUCAGACCCCAACCGUUUUCAAGGUCCCCGAAGCUCUGAGGCCCCCGAGGGGCGGACCCCCCUCCUGACCUGCAGCUCCAGCUCCCGUUGGUCCCUUGAGUGGAGCCUCUUCCUGUUCCCUUCCCGCCUUGACACCAGCUCUGUGCCUCACUGUCUUGUUUCUCAGUAGAUUGUCCUCCUAGUUUGUAGACUUACUAAGAGUGAGGACGCUUCAUUGGUGAGAAUAACGUCUCUGCCAGUGAGGGGCUUGAGGAAUACCGACAACUCCAGAGGCAAAAUUACUGUUUUUAAAGAUUCUUUGCUGUAAUUGACAUCAUCCUCAAUUUAGCACCUUAAAACUUAUAAUAGUUAAUAAUUAUGCAUCAGCCUUGAGUCCUUUGUGGCUCAGUGGUUAAUGAUCCCGACUAGGACCCAUGAGGAGGUAAGUUUGAUCCCUGGCCUUGCUCAGUGGGUUAAGGAUCCAGUGUUGCCGUGAGCUGUGGUCCACAGCAACGGGGGAUCCGAGCUGCGUCUGCCACUUACACCGAAGUUCACGGCAAUACCACAUCCUUAACCCACUGAGUGAGGCCCAGGAUCAAACCUGCAUCCUCAUGGAUGCUAGUCAGAUUUGUUAACUGCUGAGCCACGAUGGGCACUCCAGGGCUGAGAUAUUUUAAAUUUUGUGGAACUGAAGCCAGGUUUGUGGCAAUUUCUGUCAAAUUCUAGGCCAGAUCGUGACAAAUGAACUCUGCUCUAGUGGAGAGACUGUGAGAAACGCCUUAGUAACUAGCUUGUGGCAGUCUUUCAGGCAAACAGAAUAAGCCAGGGCAGAUUGGAGGAGCAUUUUUGCAUCAGUUCGUGAAGCUUUCUGAGCGCCCUGGUAAGGCGGUGAUGGAGCCAGAAGAAGGGGCUGGCUGCCAUGCUGGGGAGCUACACUGAGUUGGUUAACCAGUUUCACUUACAUUAUGCUGAAGAUACUGUUCCUUUUCAGGAAGCCAUCCAAAUCAGUAGAACUUCAGAAGAGAAAGAGGAGGAAAAUACAGAUCAGAACU
RNAcentral lists this long non-coding RNA (4497 nucleotides) under Sus scrofa (pig). RNAcentral's name for it is "lncRNA (ENSSSCG00045010269.1)". The record is from RNAcentral. Lineage: Eukaryota; Metazoa; Chordata; Mammalia; Artiodactyla; Suidae.